AUGGACCAUUCCAUCCCUUAUUCCCGUGGCUAUGCAUCGGAUUCGGAUGACGAAGGUCCCGGUGAACAAGUUGAUGAGGAGGGGUUCACGGUGAAGGAGGCCGAAGCUUUCGAGAAGGUAUUCGGGCGGGAUCAUCGGACUACAUUGUUCAAGGAUGUUAGUCUCGCGGAUGAAGCCGUGGUAGAUGGUGGCCAAGGUAUAUAUCUUAGGGUUAGGCCAAGAUCUCAC
Molecule: ribosomal RNA, 228 nt
Filed under: Triticum aestivum (bread wheat)
Lineage: Eukaryota; Viridiplantae; Streptophyta; Magnoliopsida; Poales; Poaceae
Description: partial small subunit ribosomal RNA
Source: RNAcentral